GGAAGCGUGCCCGAAAGUUAAGGACCUCCUUGAUAGGG
RNAcentral lists this transfer RNA (38 nucleotides) under Kaloula indochinensis. RNAcentral describes it as "partial tRNA-Ile". The record is from RNAcentral. Lineage: Eukaryota; Metazoa; Chordata; Amphibia; Anura; Microhylidae.